CCUACGGGAGGCAGCAGCUAAGAAUCUUCCGCAAUGGGCGAAAGCCUGACGGAGCGACACUGCGUGAAUGAAGAAGGUCGAAAGAUUGUAAAAUUCUUUUAUAAAUGAGGAAUAAGCUUUGUAGGAAAUGACAAAGUGAUGACGUUAAUUUAUGAAUAAGCCCCGGCUAAUACGUGCCAGCAGCCGCGGUAAUACGUAAGGGGCGAGCGUUGUUCGGGAUUAUUGGGCGUAAAGGGUGAGUAGGCGGAUAUAUAAGUCUAUGCAUAAAAUACCACAGCUCAACUGUGGACCUAUGUUGGAAACUAUAUGUCUAGAGUCUGAUAGAGGAAGUUAGAAUUUCUGGUGUAAGGGUGGAAUCUGUUGAUAUCAGAAAGAAUACCGGAGGCGAAGGCGAACUUCUGGGUCAAGACUGACGCUGAGUCACGAAAGCGUAGGGAGCAAACAGGAUUAGAUACCCUGGUAGUCUACGCUGUAAACGAUGCACACUUGGUGUUAACUAAAAGUUAGUACCGAAGCUAACGUGUUAAGUGUGCCGCCUGGGGAGUAUGCUCGCAAGAGUGAAACUCAAAUGAAUUGACGG
Molecule: ribosomal RNA, 580 nt
Filed under: Borreliella burgdorferi (Lyme disease spirochete)
Lineage: Bacteria; Pseudomonadati; Spirochaetota; Spirochaetia; Spirochaetales; Borreliaceae
Description: bacterial SSU rRNA
Rfam family: Bacterial small subunit ribosomal RNA
Source: RNAcentral